UACUAGUCGGCAGUAACUAGCAAUGCAGAAAUAGAACGAUAUAUUAAAGAAUUAAAGCAAAGCCCAGAGAAAGCAGAAAAAAUUUCACAAAAACAAAUUUUUACUUCCAAGUAUUGCGCAGCUAAAGAAUACUAUUAGCUUAUUCCUAAGUCAUUUAAGUCCUUUAAGUCAUGGCAAUAUCGCUGACCAAGAGUUUAUUUAAAGCCUUUAAGCAGUUCUAAGUAAAAGCAAGCAGAGCAAAAAUAAUAAGGAACAGGAAGUCAUGCAACAAAAUGGGAAUGGCACGCUACUUGAGCAGAAAUUAAGACAAUGUUCACAACGGCUCACUGAGUUCACCGCUGCCUUACAAAUACGCACUCACUUGAAGUCCUUGUAAAGUUUUUGAAUUAUUUCCGCACUUUGCCUCUCCUACGAUUUAGAAUAACUUUGCUUCCUACGGGCUUGUUGAAUUCAUAACUGUUGAAGGGCGAGAAAACAUUUCGAAAAGUGCAAAAGUGCGAAAGUGACUAUAAUUAAAAGUAAGGAUGUGUAAUUAAGAGGGCAACAGGUGUGCUUAGAGUAAAGGGAUAACAUUUUUAAAUGUCACAGUUUCAUUGUCCUCACCGCAAAGCUCACACUAAUCGCAUUGUCUUAUGCAAAUGUUACAAAAUGAACCCAAUUUGGGUGUUAAUGGUGGUAGGCUCAGCCAAAAGACAGCACUGUAAGCGUUUAUACACAGUUGUUAGUACAUACAUAUAGAAGAACAUACUACAUUGCCCAUUUACGUAUGAGCAACAAAUUUCCACAAAUACACGAGACUUUGGCUGAGAUAAUACGGAAUAAUAAAUUUUGCACUAAAACUGGUGAAGAAGCUAAAUUAGUCGCAAAACAAUGGAAUUGUGUAGUUGAAGAAAAUGAUUGCUGAUGUUAUAUACGCUUCGUUCUUUAUUACAACAGAUAACAAAGGACCCACGAUUGUUCGUCAAAUACUCCAAGUUCAUUGUUCCGGAUUUGCCAAAAUAUUUGCCGUCUGUCCUAAUCGGCAUGCAAAGACUUUGUAACAGUCGAAACUAAAGACACACGACACAAAUGGCAACACCACAAAACGUCAUCACUUGUGAUACAUACGAUAAAGCGCUUACAACCAAAAUUAAAAUAUUGUACUAUAUAUCAAUUUAUGUUGGUAUGGCGAAGUGGUAAAACGGUAAAAAAGCAUCAACAAAACAAAAAAAAAUGAGUUCAUAGUAAAUAUUUAAAUAUGUUCUAUAUGCUCAUUUAAGCUCGAUAGUGAAGGGUGAAUGAGGAAAGUAAUGCUCACAGUUUCUCCAGUGAAGCCCUAAGAGAGUUUAUGAAUUCUGCAACUCAACGACAGCACCAGAAAAAAUCAUGUCCAUACGUCCAUAAAUUCAGAUAGAUAUCGAACUUUGCUCAAAUUGCUCAUACGCCUCAGCUUACCCACGGCACAGGACGACCAUCUAAACUUAAAUUGGACUAUUUUGAUAAAUAAAGUAUUGGUUAUUUUCAAUCUAACUAACCACAUACAAUUUUUUUAAAUCAUUCUGUUAAAAGUCUCUUACAUUUUCUCACUUCUAAUAACUUUGCAGGCUGACGAGCCGGAACUUCCCAAGACCUCAAAAGUAGUAGUAGGUGCUUAAGAGCUCGGGAUAAAACAAAACAUUAUGAGCUGUAGGCAUCAAUUAGGAUCCCAUAUUUGAAUGCAAUAGCAUAGAACGCAUUGAGGUGUUCUCCUGGGAGCCUGACAAUUUUACUACUUCCAUGUCCACUGCAGUUUAAACCGG
Molecule: long non-coding RNA, 1778 nt
Filed under: Bactrocera tryoni
Lineage: Eukaryota; Metazoa; Arthropoda; Insecta; Diptera; Tephritidae
Description: uncharacterized LOC120782490, transcript variant X1
Source: RNAcentral